UACGUAGGAGGCGAGCGUUGUCCGGAGUCACUGGGCGUAAAGCGCGCGCAGGCGGUCCCGCGCGCCGCGUCUGAAAGCCCCCGGCUCAACCGGGGCGGGCGGCGCGGGACGGCGGGACUGGAGGGUGGCAGAGGUCGGUGGAAUUCCCGGUGUAGUGGUGAAAUGCGUAGAUAUCGGGAGGAACACCCGUGGCGAAGGCGGCCGGCUGGGCCACACCUGACGCUGAGGCGCGAAGGCCGGGGGAGCGAACGGG
This 253-nucleotide ribosomal RNA is filed under the name uncultured bacterium. RNAcentral's name for it is "partial 16S ribosomal RNA". It matches the Rfam family "Bacterial small subunit ribosomal RNA", at positions 524 to 776 of the family's 1533-position model. The record is from RNAcentral.